GCGAAAGUGGCGGAAUUGGUAGACGCACUGGAUUUAGGUUCCAGCGCCUCGCGGCGUGAGAGUUCGAGUCUCUCCUUUCGCA
RNAcentral lists this transfer RNA (82 nucleotides) under Gallionella capsiferriformans ES-2. It matches the Rfam family "tRNA". From Rfam's summary of the family: Transfer RNA (tRNA) molecules are approximately 80 nucleotides in length. Their secondary structure includes four short double-helical elements and three loops (D, anti-codon, and T loops). The record is from Rfam by way of RNAcentral. Lineage: Bacteria; Pseudomonadati; Pseudomonadota; Betaproteobacteria; Nitrosomonadales; Gallionellaceae.